This 254-nucleotide ribosomal RNA is filed under the name uncultured bacterium. RNAcentral's name for it is "partial 16S ribosomal RNA". It matches the Rfam family "Bacterial small subunit ribosomal RNA", at positions 524 to 776 of the family's 1533-position model. The record is from RNAcentral.
UACGGGGGGAGCAAGCGUUGUUCGGAUUUACUGGGCGUAAAGGGCGCGUAGGCGGUCAGCACAAGUCAGUUGUGAAAUCUCCGGGCUUAACUCGGAAAGGUCAACUGAUACUGUGCGACUAGAGUGCGGAAGGGGCAACUGGAAUUCUCGGUGUAGCGGUGAAAUGCGUAGAUAUCUGGAGGAACACCGGUGGCGAAGGCGGCAUCCUGGACCAACACUGACGCUGAGGAGCGAAAGCCAGGGGAGCAAACGGG